GAGGGUAUAGCUCAGUGGUAGAGCACAUGCUUAGUAUGCACGAGGUCCUGGGUUCAAUACCCACUAUCUCCA
RNAcentral lists this transfer RNA (72 nucleotides) under Camelus bactrianus (Bactrian camel). It matches the Rfam family "tRNA". Rfam says of the family: Transfer RNA (tRNA) molecules are approximately 80 nucleotides in length. Lineage: Eukaryota; Metazoa; Chordata; Mammalia; Artiodactyla; Camelidae. The record is from Rfam by way of RNAcentral. RNAcentral also lists the same sequence under 2 other names.